AUGAUGAGUGAUUUUCUUUUGAAACCUGGAUAUUUUUGUGUUAUCUUGUGAGACUCAGGAUCUUAUUUUAAUCCUCUCUUUUAGCUUCUUGACACUAUCCAGCAGGGGAAUGAGGGUAUUACGUGCUUGCUGCCACAUAGAGAGAGAAGUCUGGGUUCCCCACUGGCUUUUAUUUACACCUGAGGGGCAGGGUACCAUUUGUUACUGCUGGGCAGGAGUGAAAGUCCUGACUGCCAGAGUGGUCUCCAUGGACACCAUGAUGGGGGCGGCCUCUUUGGGGCAGGACAUGGAUGCUCGGGAUGCCCAUGUUGUCUCCACCAUCUCCACUGAUACCAAGAAGAAAGAGGGGAGUUCAUCACCAGCUAGAAGGCAUCAAAGUUCCAGCUCCCUUCUGGGCCUUGUUGGAUACCACUCUGGCGGAGGUGUUGGGCCCCUUGUUUCAGCCUCAUGAGGGUAGAUGCCUGGGCUCUCCACUUGGUCUUUACUAUCCUGGGUGGUUCUGAGUCCUCAGUUUUUGUUUGUUUCUUUGCUAUUUGCUGUUUUGCGAUGUUUGGCUGGAGUAAAAUAAUGAUUGUCUAACAGUUUCCUGUCUAGAUGAUGCCCCUUUCCUGGUUCUUUGACUGCAUAGAAUAGGAUCCUGUUGGAGCUUCAUUUGCCCAUGUCUUGGGUUUCUGGCUUGGGACUUCUUUAGUUUCAUGUCUGAGAAAACCCGGGGAACCCACCACUGUGUCAUUCCUCAUGUCUGGAGGUCCCUGGCUGGUCUGUCUUCUCCACCUUUCAGAAUCCUAUGUUUAUUUAAUAUAUUAUAGACAUAGUUUUUAAUUAUACUUAGAUGGAUAGGGAACAUAAUCCUCUUUUGUACUCCUUGGAGUAGAAUUCUUACUGACUAUUUAUCAGUAGGAUUUUAAUUAAGGGCAGGGAGCAUCCCAAAGCAGCAGGCAUUGGUGUCAGCCCUUGGAGGCCAUGCAGAAGACCACUUUAAUGAGUUCCUGGACUCAGGAAUGUGCCAUUCCUUUCAACCUCUCAGGAAGGAUUGGGAUACAUUCUUCCACCUUCAAAAAUGAAGAGCAAGAAUUUUCAAGGGCAGCCACAUCCUUUUUACUCAGGACCCUUGAGGUUCAGAGCAGGAGCACUGUUAGGAUGAGGGCUUCUGAGAAGGCAGGAGGAGAGAAGCUGUGACUUGAAAACAGAUGAAUCCAGAAGAGUCAAAUACCCAACUGUUCCUCACCUAAGCUGGACACAGGGUGUAUACAACGACAACGAGUAAGAUGUGCAAC
This is a non-coding RNA of Microcebus murinus (gray mouse lemur), 1277 nucleotides long. The record is from RefSeq and is a predicted model, not a curated record. NCBI's taxonomy places the organism in Eukaryota, Metazoa, Chordata, Mammalia, Primates, Cheirogaleidae.